Molecule: RNA transcript, 2162 nt
Organism: Myotis brandtii (Brandt's bat)
Lineage: Eukaryota; Metazoa; Chordata; Mammalia; Chiroptera; Vespertilionidae
Gene name: UPF0428 protein CXorf56
Exons: 2
Source: RefSeq, a predicted model, not a curated record
CCUCUGCGUGCGAGACUGAGAGCCGGUAGGGAGGCGGGGAACUGAAACCUGGAUUUGGCAGGAGGGCAGCGGACACCCCGGAAUUACAUCCCAAUGGGGUUCCUGCGGGAAGACCUGGAUUCCUAACCUGAGACGUAUCUGUUUUCUCACUUCUUACUACUUUGAUUCCCACCUUCAAUUAGAAGUGAGUCACCUUGUUUUCUGCAUAACCCUUAUUUUUGGCAUUGCAUUUGUGGACAUCUCCUGUGAAUUAUGCCUAAAGUUGUGUCCCGGUCAGUUGUCUGCUCCUACACCCGAGACCGGGAGGAAUAUGAGGACGGCGAGAAGCCCCUCCACAUCUACUACUGUUUGUGUGGCCAGAUGGUUCUGGUGCUUGACUGUCAGUUGGAGAAAUUGCCCAUGAGGCCCCGGGAUCAGUCCCGGGUGAUUGAUGCUGCCAAACACGCCCACAAGUUUUGUAACACAGAAGACCAGGAGACUAUGUAUCUUCGCAGGCCUGAAGGCAUUGAACGACAGUACAGAAAGAAGUGUGCAAAGUGCGGACUGCCACUCUUCUACCAGUCCCAGCCAAAGAAUGCUCCUGUGACCUUUAUUGUGGAUGGAGCAGUAGUCAAGUUUGGCCAGGGCUUUGGGAAAAUGAAUAUAUAUACUCAGAAGCGAGAACCUCCUAAGAAGGUGAUGAUGACCAAACGGACUAAAGACAUGGGCAAGUUCAGCUCUGUCACUGUGUCUACUAUUGAUGAAGAGGAAGAGGAGAUUGAGGCCAGGGAGAUUGCUGACUCAUAUGCACAGAAUGCCAAAGUGAUUGAAAAACAGCUGGAGCGCAGAGGCAUGAGCAAAAGGCGGCUGCAAGAGCUGGCGGAACUAGAAGCCAACAAAGCCAAAAUGAAGGGGACUUUGAUUGAUAACCAGUUCAAAUGAUUAGGACUUUUCUCUGAACCCAGACUAAAGGCAAGCAUUUAGACCAGGAGGCGAAAGAACUUUUUCUUGACUGCAUGGACUGGUUCCUACCUUUAUGCCCCAGCAAAAAGCCUUCUGUUGCUCCCUACAUUCAGUGAGGUCUUUGAGUCCAUCUGACCUACUUUCUAGAAAUGAAUUUUAAAAAUACAUGGAUCUUCUGUACUAUUUUUUUGUCCAUUUGAUGUCAACUUCUUUAGUUGUAUAGAAACUCCAUGAGUAGACUAGUGCUUGAGUGUCUUUAGUUUCUAAAGUAGCUGUUCUUUAAUAAAAUAUUUAAAGAUUUUUUGGGGGGGAGGAUGAGUCAUAUUAGUUUUUUUCUGUUCAUUUUUCCUAUCCAUCUUUAUUCCAGGCUAUAUUCAUAUUAUUUUUUUUUCUGAAGAAUUAUCAUUCUUCUUUAAAUAAAGUUUUUAUUCACCUCUGAAUAAUGAACAUUACAACUUUAGGGAAUUGUGGGACCAUUUUUUAAAAUAUGAGUAUUAUGCCAACUUAAAAGAAAAUCAGUGCCAGAAUAUCAGGGGAAAUGAUCAAUUUUCUGUCCUCAUCCUCUUGGACCAACCAUUAACAUUUGACCCACUUAACCACUUGCUUCUUGAAAUAGUUUUUCAGUUGGCUUCUAAAAUAGUGCAUGCUCUGCGUUUUCCUUCUUCCUUCUUCUUCUGUAGUAGCCACUCCUCAAGUUUGUUGGUUUUUGUGUGUUGGUUCCCAGCUCCUCCUCCACUCUCCAGCCUAAAUGGAAAAGUAACUCAGGCUUCGAUCUUCUAGCCAGAUUCCCCACCUUGUCCAGUUUCACCUUUUAAAAUACCAUGUCUAGCUUGAAGAUUCCUAAAUUUGUAUUUCUAGCCAUCUCUCUUGAACUCGAAUCCCAUAUAUCAGACUGCCUACUGGUUAUCUCUAGUUGUCCAUCAUAGGCAUCUCAAAGAUAAAAUGUCCUAUAGAAUUCUUGAUUCUUGCCCCUUUAGCUUCUCCUUAACUUUUCUCCUUCUCAAGUUGACACUUUUUAAAAAAUUUAUUGGGAUGACAUCGAUUUCAAGUGUAAAGUUCUAUGAUACAUGAUCUGUAUAUUGCAUUGUGUGUCCACCACCCCAAGUCAAAUCAUAAUCCAACACUAUAUAUUUGGCCCCUUUGCUCUAUAAUAUCUGCCUACCCCCUUUCCUCUGGUAACCAUCAUACCAUUGUCUAUGAGUUUCAGUUUUAUAUCCCAC